UUGAAGGAAGUGGUAAAGACAAAUACAUGAAGGGGUCAAAUGUUAUUGAGAUUUUGUUGCAGACCGGACAAACCAGAGUAGACUUAUAUUGACCCUGCAUUAAAUAGUUUCAGUAUAAGUAAACUUGCUGGCCAUAGACACUAAGCAAGCUAAUUCCCUCAAACAACAAAAUAAAUAGCAAUUUCAGAUAUUUUACAGCAGGGUUCUGUCAAAGAAUUACUGGGAGUGACAUAAGUAAACUUGCUAGCCAUAGACACUAAGCAAGCUAAUUCCCUCAAACAACAAAAUAAAUAGCAAUUUCAGAUAUUUUACAGCAGGGUUCUGUCAAAGAAUUACUGGGAGUGACAUAGCCUUAGUUGACAAAAAGAAAUAAGUGAUUAUCCGCCUCCAUUGCUGAAAGGCAUUGUAGAUCUCCAGCAGACAAAGGUAAGAGAAAAAUAAAGUAAUUCCCAGGUCUAGUCAGGACGUAGAAAAGAAAAUCCAUUAGAUAAAAGCCAAACAAGAAACAGACCUAGUCAAUUUUAAGAAAGUUUAACACAGAGACAAUAAAU
This 551-nucleotide long non-coding RNA is filed under the name Nicotiana benthamiana. Its description in RNAcentral is "long non-coding RNA (NBEN_LNC022021)". Lineage: Eukaryota; Viridiplantae; Streptophyta; Magnoliopsida; Solanales; Solanaceae. The record is from RNAcentral.